GUUGCUUCUAAGAUCAAGCGUAGUAUCUAUUUAUUACAGUUUAAUAUAUGAUAUGUCCUCUGUCCAAGAACAAAAUGUUAAAUGGAUUUUUGGAGGAGGGAGAUGGAGUAGGAAGGACCCAGCUCCACACAUCCAUCUAAUAUCAUAGUACCUGCAGAAAUGGUGCAACCCCU
Marmota marmota marmota (Alpine marmot) is the source of this 173-nucleotide small nuclear RNA. Its record names the gene U2. It matches the Rfam family "U2 spliceosomal RNA". Rfam says of the family: U2 is a small nuclear RNA (snRNA) component of the spliceosome (involved in pre-mRNA splicing). Complementary binding between U2 snRNA (in an area lying towards the 5' end but 3' to hairpin I) and the branchpoint sequence (BPS) of the intron results the bulging out of an unpaired adenosine, on the BPS, which initiates a nucleophilic attack at the intronic 5' splice site, thus starting the first of two transesterification reactions that mediate splicing. The record is from Ensembl. NCBI's taxonomy places the organism in Eukaryota, Metazoa, Chordata, Mammalia, Rodentia, Sciuridae.